GGAGAACCUGCGGUUGGAUCACCUCCUUUCUAGAGUACAAAUAGAUAUUCUCUCACAAGAUAUCUAUAAGAAAGAUAUAAGUAUUAAUAAUUAUACUUAUAGUGUAAUAGACAACUAACUCAAUCAUCCUUGUUUAGUUUUCAGAGAUUGUUUUAAGAUUAAUAAUAGAGCUAAAGGGGAAUUAGCUCAGCUGGGAGAGCGCCUGCUUUGCACGCAGGAGGUCAGCGGUUCGAUCCCGCUAUUCUCCACCAUAAGGGCCUGUAGCUCAGCUGGUUAGAGUGCACCCCUGAUAAGGGUGAGGUCAUAAGUUCAAGUCUUAUCAGGCCCACCAUGAAAAAUAUAAAAAGUAUUUUUAUAUAAAGCUUAUAUAAUACAUAGUUUAACAAAGAAGUAUUUUAUAAUAAAAACAACUAUAUUUUAAAUGAUAGUUUUUUUAUAAAAUUAUCUUUUAAUUUUAUAAAAAUAUAAGUAUUAUUAGAUAAAAUACCAAACUUUAUUUUUUUUAUUAUAAAGUUUAAUUAGAGAGUUAAACAAUAAAGUUGAUAAAAAUCAAUUAUCUCUUAUAUGUUAAUUUUCUAAUUAGAUUUUAUAAUCUAAAUGUUAUUUAAAUUAUCAUUGUUAAAAGUCACAAAAAGUUUUAAUAAAAUAAAACAAUUUUACAGGACUUGUUAAAGCUUUAUAUCUAUAUAAAUAUAAAAGCAAAUCUUUUAAGUUUAACUGUUAUCAAAUUUAAAAGUUUAAAGAUUAUACACGAAACAAUAAAGUUUUUAAAACUUACUUUAUAGUUUAUAAUCUCUUUCCGUCUUAAUUUAUAUGAUAUAAACAUUAUAAAAUAAAUCAAUUUUAUCUUUAACAAGGAAGUGAUGCGAAUUAGAAUAUCAACAUAAUAAAUAAUUCUAAUAACUUCAAAGACAAGCAACUUUAUUAAGUUUAAGUAUUAAAUAAUUUUAAUCAAAUUUAAUUUUUAUUUUUACGAGUAAAACCUUAAUAUUGAUUUACGACAAACGAAGUUUGGAGUAAAUCUUAAUAACUUUAGAGGUUUGCAAAGGGCGUAGCCCUUGCUCGUAAAGACUAGCUUUGCUAGUCUGCGAAGUCAAAAAAGGUAAGCUACUAAGAGCGAAUGGUGGAUGCCUUGGUUGGUAGAGGCGAUGAAAGACGUGCUAGACUGCGAUAAGUCUCGGGGAGUUGUCAAGGAGCUUUGAUCCGGGA
This 1209-nucleotide unclassified non-coding RNA is filed under the name Campylobacter ureolyticus. RNAcentral describes it as "partial contains 16S ribosomal RNA, 16S-23S ribosomal RNA intergenic spacer, and 23S ribosomal RNA". The stretch from base 1101 to 1209 matches the Rfam family "Bacterial large subunit ribosomal RNA", at positions 1 to 109 of the family's 2925-position model. The record is from RNAcentral. Lineage: Bacteria; Pseudomonadati; Campylobacterota; Epsilonproteobacteria; Campylobacterales; Campylobacteraceae.